GAUGAACGCUGGCGGCGUGCCUAAUACAUGCAAGUCGAGCGAACAGAUGAGGAGCUUGCUUCUCUGACGUUAGCGGCGGACGGGUGAGUAACACGUGGAUAACCUACCUAUAAGACUGGGAUAACUUCGGGAAACCGGAGCUAAUACCGGAUAAUAUAUUGAACCGCAUGGUUCAAUAGUGAAAGACGGUUUUGCUGUCACUUAUAGAUGGAUCCGCGCUGCAUUAGCUAGUUGGUAAGGUAACGGCUUACCAAGGCAACGAUGCGUAGCCGACCUGAGAGGGUGAUCGGCCACACUGGAACUGAGACACGGUCCAGACUCCUACGGGAGGCAGCAGUAGGGAAUCUUCCGCAAUGGGCGAAAGCCUGACGGAGCAACGCCGCGUGAGUGAUGAAGGUCUUCGGAUCGUAAAACUCUGUUAUUAGGGAAGAACAAAUGUGUAAGUAACUAUGCACGUCUUGACGGUACCUAAUCAGAAAGCCACGGCUAACUACGUG
Molecule: ribosomal RNA, 497 nt
Filed under: uncultured bacterium
Lineage: Bacteria
Description: partial 16S ribosomal RNA
Rfam family: Bacterial small subunit ribosomal RNA
Source: RNAcentral